AACGGGAGGCUGCAGUANGGAAUCUUCCACAAUGGGCGCAAGCCUGAUGGAGCAACGCCGCGUGUGUGAUGAAGGCUUUCGGGUCGUAAAGCACUGUUGUAUGGGAAGAACGGGUUUAAGAGGAAAUGCUUAAACAGUGACGGUACCAUACCAGAAAGGGACGGCUAAAUACGUGCCAGCAGCCGCGGUAAUACGUAUGUCCCGAGCGUUAUCCGGAUUUAUUGGGCGUAAAGCGAGCGCAGACGGUUGCUUAAGUCUGAAGUGAAAGCCCACAGCUCAACUGUGGAAUGGCUUUGGAAACUGGGCAACUUGAGUGCAGUAGAGGUAAGUGGAACUCCAUGUGUAGCGGUGGAAUGCGUAGAUAUAUGGAAGAACACCAGUGGCGAAGGCGGCUUACUGGACUGCAACUGACGUUGAGGCUCGAAAGUGUGGGUAGCAAACAGGAUUAGAUACCCUGGUAGUCCACACCGUAAACGAUGGAUACUAGUUGUUAGAGGGUUUCCGCCCUUUAGUGNACAANCAAACGCAUUAAGUAUCCCGCCUGGGGAGUACNACCNCAAGGUUGAAACUCAAGGGAAUUGACGGGGGCCCNCACAAGCGGUG
This 603-nucleotide ribosomal RNA is filed under the name Fructobacillus fructosus. RNAcentral's name for it is "bacterial SSU rRNA". It matches the Rfam family "Bacterial small subunit ribosomal RNA", at positions 340 to 934 of the family's 1533-position model. The record is from RNAcentral. Lineage: Bacteria; Bacillati; Bacillota; Bacilli; Lactobacillales; Lactobacillaceae.